AGAUGGGUUUUUUUUAAAACCACACAAGAUUUAAAAACAAAAAAAA
Molecule: non-coding RNA, 46 nt
Organism: Apaloderma vittatum (bar-tailed trogon)
Lineage: Eukaryota; Metazoa; Chordata; Aves; Trogoniformes; Trogonidae
Source: Rfam